GAUGAACGCUGGCGGCGUGCCUAAUACAUGCAAGUCGAGCGAACGGACGAGAAGCUUGCUUCUCUGAUGUUAGCGGCGGACGGGUGAGUAACACGUGGAUAACCUACCUAUAAGACUGGGGUAACUUCGGGAAACCGGAGCUAAUACCGGAUGAUAUUUUGAACCGCAUGGUUCAAAAGUGAAAGACGGUCUUGCUGUCACUUAUAGAUGGAUCCGCGCUGCAUUAGCUAGUUGGUAAGGUAACGGCUUACCAAGGCAACGAUGCAUAGCCGACCUGAGAGGGUGAUCGGACACACUGGAACUGAGACACGGUCCAGACUCCUACGGGAGUCAGCAGUAGGGAAUCUUCCGCAAUGGGCGAAAGCCUGACGGAGCAACGCCGCGUGAGUGAUGAAGGUCUUCGGAUCGUAAAACUCUGUUAUUAGGGAAGAACAUAUGUGUAAGUAACUGUGCACAUCUUGACGGUACCUAAUCAGAAAGCCACGGCUAACUACGUG
Molecule: ribosomal RNA, 497 nt
Filed under: uncultured bacterium
Lineage: Bacteria
Description: partial 16S ribosomal RNA
Rfam family: Bacterial small subunit ribosomal RNA
Source: RNAcentral